GAUUCGCUAGCUCAGUUGGUAGAGCAUCUCCCUUUUAAGGAGAGGGUCCUGGGUUCGAGCCCCAGGCGAAUCA
Molecule: transfer RNA, 73 nt
Filed under: Marinoscillum furvescens DSM 4134
Lineage: Bacteria; Pseudomonadati; Bacteroidota; Cytophagia; Cytophagales; Reichenbachiellaceae
Rfam family: tRNA
About the family: Transfer RNA (tRNA) molecules are approximately 80 nucleotides in length. Their secondary structure includes four short double-helical elements and three loops (D, anti-codon, and T loops).
Source: Rfam by way of RNAcentral